AGUGAACGCUGGCGGUAGGCCUAACACAUGCAAGUCGAACGGCAGCACAGUAAGAGCUUGCUCUUACGGGUGGCGAGUGGCGGACGGGUGAGGAAUACAUCGGAAUCUACUUUUUCGUGGGGGAUAACGUAGGGAAACUUACGCUAAUACCGCAUACGACCUACGGGUGAAAGCAGGGGAUCUCCGGACCUUGCGCGAUUGAAUGAGCCGAUGUCGGAUUAGCUAGUUGGCGGGGUAAAGGCCCACCAAGGCGACGAUCCGUAGCUGGUCUGAGAGGAUGAUCAGCCACACUGGAACUGAGACACGGUCCAGACUCCUACGGGAGGCAGCAGUGGGGAAUAUUGGACAAUGGGCGCAAGCCUGAUCCAGCCAUACCGCGUGGGUGAAGAAGGCCUUCGGGUUGUAAAGCCCUUUUGUUGGGAAAGAAAAGCAGCAGGUUAAUACCCCGCUGUUCUGACGGUACCCAAAGAAUAAGCACCGGCUAACUUCGUG
RNAcentral lists this ribosomal RNA (492 nucleotides) under uncultured bacterium. RNAcentral describes it as "partial 16S ribosomal RNA". It matches the Rfam family "Bacterial small subunit ribosomal RNA", at positions 29 to 507 of the family's 1533-position model. The record is from RNAcentral.